RNAcentral lists this ribosomal RNA (796 nucleotides) under Harringtonia lauricola. Its description in RNAcentral is "Raffaelea lauricola partial large subunit ribosomal RNA". It matches the Rfam family "Eukaryotic large subunit ribosomal RNA", at positions 87 to 906 of the family's 3401-position model. The record is from RNAcentral. Lineage: Eukaryota; Fungi; Ascomycota; Sordariomycetes; Ophiostomatales; Ophiostomataceae.
CGGCGAGUGAAGCGGCAACAGCUCAAAUUUGAAAUCUGGCCCCCCGCGGGCCCGAGUUGUACUUUGGAGAGGACGCUUCUGGCGCGGCGCCGUCCGAGUUCCCUGGAACGGGACGCCGGAGAGGGUGAGAGCCCCGUACGGGCGGCCGCCUAGCCUCUGCGAAGCUCCUUCGACGAGUCGAGUAGUUUGGGAAUGCUGCUCAAAAUGGGAGGUAAAUUUCUUCUAAAGCUAAAUACCGGCCAGAGACCGAUAGCGCACAAGUAGAGUGAUCGAAAGAUGAAAAGCACUUUGAAAAGAGGGUCAAACAGUACGUGAAAUUGUUGAAAGGGAAGCGCCUGUGGCCAGACUUGCGCCCCGCGGACCACCCGGCGCCUCGCGCGCCGGGGCACGCCAGCGGGGCGCAGGCCAGCAUCGGCUCUCUCGGGGGGACAAAGGCCGCGGGAACGUAGCGCCCUCGCGGCGUAUUAUAGCCCGCGGCGCCAUGCCCCCGGGGGGGCCGAGGACCGCGCUCCGGCAAGGAUGCUGGCGUAAUGGCCACCGGCGACCCGUCUUGAAACACGGACCAAGGAGUCAAGCAUUGGGGCGAGUGUCUGGGUGGCAAGCCCGCACGCGGAAUGAAAGUGAACGCAGGUGGGAGCUUCGGCGCACCACCGACCGAUCCUGAUGUCCUCGGAUGGAUUUGAGUAGGAGCCCCGCCGCUUGGACCCGAAAGAUGGUGAACUAUGCCUGUAUAGGGUGAAGCCAGAGGAAACUCUGGUGGAGGCCCGCAGCGGUUCUGACGUGCAAAUCGAUCGUC